RNAcentral lists this ribosomal RNA (373 nucleotides) under uncultured organism. RNAcentral describes it as "partial 16S ribosomal RNA". It matches the Rfam family "Bacterial small subunit ribosomal RNA", at positions 527 to 896 of the family's 1533-position model. The record is from RNAcentral.
GUAGGUGGCAAGCGUUGUCCGGAAUUAUUGGGCGUAAAGCGCGCGCAGGCGGUUCUUUAAGUCUGAUGUGAAAGCCCACGGCUCAACCGUGGAGGGUCAUUGGAAACUGGAGAACUUGAGUGCAGAAGAGGAAAGCGGAAUUCCACGUGUAGCGGUGAAAUGCGUAGAGAUGUGGAGGAACACCAGUGGCGAAGGCGGCUUUCUGGUCUGUAACUGACGCUGAGGCGCGAAAGCGUGGGGAGCAAACAGGAUUAGAUACCCUGGUGGUCCACGCCGUAAACGAUGAGUGCUAAGUGUUAGGGGGUUUUCCGCCCCCCUUAGUGCUGCAGCUAACGCAUUAAGCACUCCGCCUGGGAGUACGGCCGCAAGGCUG